Molecule: ribosomal RNA, 496 nt
Filed under: uncultured bacterium
Lineage: Bacteria
Description: partial 16S ribosomal RNA
Rfam family: Bacterial small subunit ribosomal RNA
Source: RNAcentral
GAUGAACGCUGACGGCGUGCCUAAUACAUGCAAGUCGAGCGAACGGACGAGAAGCUUGCUUCUCUGAUGUUAGCGGCGGACGGGUGAGUAACACGUGGAUAACCUACCUAUAAGACUGGGAUAACUUCGGGAAACCGGAGCUAAUACCGGAUAAUAUUUUGAACCGCAUGGUUCAAAAGUGAAAGACGGUCUUGCUGUCACUUAUAGAUGGAUCCGCGCUGCAUUAGCUAGUUGGUAAGGUAACGGCUUACCAAGGCAACGAUGCAUAGCCGACCUGAGAGGGUGAUCGGCCACACUGGAACUGAGACACGGUCCAGACUCCUACGGGGGGCAGCAGUAGGGAAUCUUCCGCAAUGGGCGAAAGCCUGACGGAGCAACGCCGCGUGAGUGAUGAAGGUCUUCGGAUCGUAAAACUCUGUUAUUAGGGAAGAACAUAUGUGUAAGUAACUGUGCACAUCUUGACGGUACCUAAUCAGAAAACCACGGCUAACUACGU